UACGAAGGGUGCAAGCGUUACUCGGAAUUACUGGGCGUAAAGCGUGCGUAGGCGGUUUGUUAAGUCUGUCGUGAAAGCCCCGGGCUCAACCUGGGAAUGGCGAUGGAUACUGGCGAGCUAGAGUACGGUAGAGGAGAGUGGAAUUCCCGGUGUAGUGGUGAAAUGCGUAGAUAUCGGGAGGAACACCAGUGGCGAAGGCGACUACCUGGCCUGUUCUUGACGCUGAGGCGCGAAAGCUAGGGGAGCAAACGGG
This 253-nucleotide ribosomal RNA is filed under the name uncultured bacterium. RNAcentral describes it as "partial 16S ribosomal RNA". It matches the Rfam family "Bacterial small subunit ribosomal RNA", at positions 524 to 776 of the family's 1533-position model. The record is from RNAcentral.